This 1463-nucleotide long non-coding RNA is filed under the name Homo sapiens (human). RNAcentral's name for it is "non-protein coding PCBP1-AS1:247". The record is from RNAcentral. Lineage: Eukaryota; Metazoa; Chordata; Mammalia; Primates; Hominidae.
GCCUGCGGAGCGGACUUCCUAGCAUGGGCUGUUGUGCUGGAGAGAACGAGAGCUACGAAGAGACUACAGUGCCUCUGACUUUUUCAUAGGACAGUUGGCCGAGGAAGACAAACAUAAAGAUGAAGUGCUUAAUUCAAGGUCACACAAUGUCGGGGAUGGACCUCCAGAUUUCCUUACUGGAAAACAAGCUCAGGGCUCCCACUGAUUGUACAUUAUGGUGAGACGUGGUCUUGUAACACAGUGGUUAAGAAUGUGACUUUGGAGCCAGCCUGCUAGGGGCUGAAUUCUGACUCAGCCAUUUACUAACUGUGUGACCUUAGGCUGGAGUGCAAUGGCAUGAUCUCGGCUCAUCACAACCUCUGCUUCCUGGGUUCAAGCGAUUCUCCUGCCUCAGCCUCCCGAGUACCUGGGACUACAGGCACUCGCCACCAUGCCCGGCUGAUUUUUGUAUUUUUAAUAGAGAUGGUUUCACUAUGUUGGCCAGGCUGGUCUCGAACUCCUGACCUUGUGAUCUGCCCACCUCAGCCUCGAAAAGUGCUGGGAUUACAGGCGUGAGCCACUGCGCCCAGCCUUGUAUUUUUUUUCAGUUUGGGUAGCUGUCCCUAAUUCAUUUGUUAAAGGAGAAGCAAGAGCAAGAACCUUUAAUCUGUUCUCCUCUUCCCUAAUUUGAAAGUAGCUUGUUAUUUUGAAUAUCACUUUCUCUGAAAUAGCACAUCUCCAUCUCAGAGAAUGGAUUUAAUGUUUGGAUACAGCCAAAAGUCAUUUCAUUACCAAACCAUGGGGUGAAUAUACCAUGUAAAGCAGUUUGGGAUCAGAACUCACAGUCUGAAUUGUAAGUGAUGAGACUGCUGUCUCUCUGCUACAGCUUCUUGGCUGGCUCUGAAGGCUCUUUGAAGGCAGAUCCUAACAAGGGGACUGCUUUGAAGGGCCAUUGUUCAUUUGGAAUGAUAAAGUCUAUGUUGUUCAAAAAACAAAUGCUUGUAGCAGGUAUUUUUUCACUCCAGACUGAGAAUAUUGGUGGGAUAUUGAUAAGGGGUACUGAAUGGUAAUAAACAUGUGCUCUAGCUCUGUGCUAGUCAGCUUAUUUCAGAACUCUAGUUUGAUUCAGUUUCUUGCCUCUGACUCAAAAUGGAGGGAGAGUGAUUUUUACAUAAGAGAACACACCCACAUAUCCUUUUGGCAGCAGCUACCUGCCAGAGAUGUUGAAGAAGAGUAGCCAACCUUUACACAGCAGAUAUUGUGUGCCAGUCAUAGUCCUAAGUAUAAUACCUUACAUGUAUAAACUUCUUAUAAGGUUGGUGCUCUGUACCGAAUUGAAUAGUAUCCCCCAAAAUUCAUGUUGUCCCAGAACCUAUGAAAGUGAUCUUACUUGAGGGAGGGGGGAGGGGGGAGGGAUAGCAUUAGGAGAUAUACCUAAUGCUAAAUGACGAGUUAAUGGGUGUAGCACACCAGCAUGGCACAUG